GACGAACGCUGGCGGCGUGCUUAACACAUGCAAGUCGAACGGAAAGGCCCUGCUUUUGUGGGGUGCUCGAGUGGCGAACGGGUGAGUAACACGUGAGUAACCUGCCCUUGACUUUGGGAUAACUUCAGGAAACUGGGGCUAAUACCGGAUAGGAUCUCCUGCUGCAUGGUGGGGGUUGGAAAGUUUCGGCGGUUGGGGAUGGACUCGCGGCUUAUCAGCUUUUUUGUGGGGUAGUGGCUUACCAAGGCUUUGACGGGUAGCCGGCCUGAGAGGGUGACCGGCGACAUGGGGACUGAGAUACGGCACAGAAUACUACGGGAGGCAGCAGUGGGGAAUAUUGCACAAUGGGCGGAAGCCUGAUGCAGCAACGCCGCGUGCGGGAUGACGGCCUUCGGGUUGUAAACCGCUUUCGCCUGUGACGAAGCGUGAGUGACGGUAAUGGGUAAAGAAGCACCGGCUAACUACGUG
RNAcentral lists this ribosomal RNA (468 nucleotides) under uncultured bacterium. RNAcentral's name for it is "partial 16S ribosomal RNA". It matches the Rfam family "Bacterial small subunit ribosomal RNA", at positions 28 to 507 of the family's 1533-position model. The record is from RNAcentral.